Molecule: long non-coding RNA, 1071 nt
Filed under: Geospiza fortis (medium ground-finch)
Lineage: Eukaryota; Metazoa; Chordata; Aves; Passeriformes; Thraupidae
Description: lncRNA (ENSGFOG00000009428.1)
Source: RNAcentral
AUGAACCUGGGGACACCUGUCCCUCACCUGUCCCCUCCUGUCCCCGCAGCCUCUCGGGGGAGCUCCAGGCCUGGGAUCGGCUCCUGCAGCAGCACCUGCAGCGCUCCCAGGAGGCCUCACGGUGAGAAUUCCAACAUUUCUCCCCAAAAUCCCCACAUUUCUCCCCAAAAUCCCCACAUUUCUCCCCAAAAUCCCCACAUUUCUCCCCAAAAUCCCCACAUUUCUCCCCAAAAUCCCCACAUUUCUCCCCAAAAUCCCCACAUUUCCCACCUCAAAUACCAAAAUUCCAACAUUUCUCCCCAAAAUCCCCACAUUUCCCACCUCAAAAACAUUCCCACAUUUAUCCCCAAAAUUCCCACACCUAUCCCCAAAAUCCCCACAUUUAUCCCAAAAUUCCCCUUUUUCUUAAUAAAAUUCCCAUUUUUAUCCCCAUUUUUCCCCAAUCCCCAUUUUGCCCAUUUCCCCCCAAAUCCCAAUAAUUUCCCAAAUUCCCCCUUUUCACCCCAAACUCCCCAUUUCCCCCAAAUCCCUGUUUUUCUUCCCAUUUCCCCCAAAUCCCCAUUUUCCCCAUUUUUCCCUAAAUCCCCAUUUUCCACCCCAUUUCCCAAAAUCCCUAUUUUCCACCCCAUUUUUCCCAAAAUCCCCACUUUUAUCCCCAUUUUUCCCAAAAUCCCCAUUUCCCCCAUUUUCCCCAAAAAUCCCCAUUUUCCCCAUUUCCCCCCAAAUCCCAGUAAUUUCCCAAAUUCCCCCUUUUCACCCCAAACUCCCCAUUUUUCCCCAAAUCCCCGUUUUUCUCCCCAUUUUUCCCCAAAUCCCCAUUUUCCCCCCCAUUUUCAUCCCCAUUUUCCACCCCAUUUUUCCCAAAUUCCCGUUUCUCUCCCCAUUUUUCCCCAAAUCCCCGUUUUCCACCCCAUUUUCAUCCCCAUUUUCCACCCCAUUUUUCCCAAAUUCCCGUUUCUCUCCCCAUUUUUCCCCAAAUCCCCGUUUUCCACCCCAUUUUCAUCCCCAUUUUCCACCCCAUUUUUCCCAAAUUCCCGUUUCUCUCCCCAUUUUUCCCCAAAUCCCCGUUUU